UCCGCCUAUUACCAUUUGGUUAAGGAGGUGUAGUAAUUUUUAUUGUAACUAACUUACACAUGUAAAUUUCUGCCCUUGAUCUAGCGUUAUAGACAGAGACUAUAUUAAGACUAUCUAAGUAACGGUGUACAUAAUUAAUAAAGAAAUAACGGGGCGUAUCGAUUAUGGGCAAGUUCCUCUAAUAAAAUCGAGCCGC
Molecule: ribosomal RNA, 196 nt
Filed under: Eogammarus tiuschovi
Lineage: Eukaryota; Metazoa; Arthropoda; Malacostraca; Amphipoda; Anisogammaridae
Description: partial 12S rRNA
Source: RNAcentral